Etheostoma spectabile (orangethroat darter) is the source of this 1162-nucleotide long non-coding RNA. RefSeq lists it as uncharacterized. NCBI's taxonomy places the organism in Eukaryota, Metazoa, Chordata, Actinopteri, Perciformes, Percidae. The record is from RefSeq and is a predicted model, not a curated record. The transcript has 2 exons.
CAAGUUGAGUUUAGAAGCCCUUCCAGAUGGUUCUCUCCACAAGACGAUGUGAACUGAGUUACCAGCGGAGUACGUCCACUCUCAAAUACCACUCGAGCAUUAAAUACAAAAAAGUACAUCUAGAGCAUGUGCAAUUAAUUUGGGAUUAAACGCCAGUUGUCAAUGGACAAUCAUGCGAUUCAUUACGAUUUAAUAUUUUAAUCAAUUGACAGCCCUAAUAUGUGUGUGUGUGUGUGUGUGUGUGUGUGUUUGUGUGUGCCAGAUCUUUGGGGGCCCUUUAAGAAAAAAGUUACAUUAUUGUUUGCAUAUUGUUUGCAAAAGGACUUUUGACUUUGGCUUCCGUGUGUAUGUGUGUGUGUGUGUGUGUGUAGAUGUACUCACUGUACCUUUCAGUCAACCUCUUUGCCAUUUUUAUUUAUUAACACUGGGCGGGAAGUGAACCAGCGCUCUGAUUGGCUGGCAGCUGUCCCAGCAAAGUGUCUCUGUUGGCAUGUAAAGCUCCUAUUUAUGGAUCAGAGUAGAGUAGUCUAGCUUUAAGAGGAAAUAAAUAUGAAUUCAAGGAUUGUACCUGAUGUCUAAAAUACCAGUGAAGAAUGCAUGUGUGACUGGCUGUGUGAGUGGCCGCUCCUCUCACCCUAUGGGAGGCCCCGCUCACGCUCUCCUUCCCUCGCCCUCCUAUCAGAUCCCUGUGCAUGUCCCGAACCCGUCCCCACUUUAUCCUUCCAAACUUGGACUGUUAUUUUCUGUAAAAAUUUGUACUUUUGAACAAAACUAUUAUCAAAGUGACUAAUAUAUCUCUGUUAGGUACGUUUUAAUGUUAGCAAUAACGUCUAUACAUCAGUAAAGGAAUAUAUUUGAUAUUUAAAUGCAGUGAAAAUAUUACGUGAUAAAACAACAGUGAUGAUGGAUAGAGGUUGUGUUUUAAAAGCAAUAUUAUUCUGAGUAUAAACAAAAAAAUGAGUGCCAUAAGUCUUUUCUCUUUUUUUUUCUUGUAUUUCCUGUUUGUUUGACUUCAGUCCUCUGCCUCAUUGUUGUUUGUUCCAGUCACUAGUACUGUAAGUGGUGAAGGCUUCUGUAGCUUCCCAGUAUGUCUCUGUGUAUCAUGAAUGCUGACUUGGUUAAGCUAUAGCAACAGAAAUAAAGACACCCUGCUGCUUCUGUC